GUGAAUUAAACAUGCUUGGUGUCUUCGCUUCGGCAAGACCCUUGCUUAAAUCACAUCCUAACACCUGUGAACUGUAAGGCGUAUGAUAAAGCUUCGGCUGCAUCGUCGUCUGCCCUUUUUAACAAACAAUUAAUGUAACAAACGUAGUCUUAUUAUAACCUAAUAAAACUUUCAACAACGGAUCUCUUGGCUCUCGCAUCGAUGAAGAACGCAGCGAAAUGCGAUAAGUAAUGUGAAUUGCAGAUUUCAGUGAACCAUCGAAUCUUUGAACGCACCUUGCGCUCUUUGGUAUUCCGAAGAGCAUGCCUGUUUGAGUGUCAUGAAAAUAUCAACCUUGACUUGGGUUUUGUGCUCGAGUCUUGGCUUGGAUGUGGGUGCUUGCCGCUUUAACGAGCGGCUCACCUUAAAUGUAUUAGCUGGAUCUGUCUUUGAGACUUGGUUUGACUUGGCGUAAUAAGUAUUUCGCUAAGGACAUUCUUCGGAAUGGCCUCGUUUCUGGGACGCUUGUCCGCUUUCCAAUACAAGUUCCAUUCGUGGACAUGACUUUUUAUUA
RNAcentral lists this unclassified non-coding RNA (553 nucleotides) under uncultured Solicoccozyma. RNAcentral's name for it is "sequence contains ITS1, 5.8S rRNA gene, ITS2". The stretch from base 167 to 320 matches the Rfam family "5.8S ribosomal RNA". The record is from RNAcentral. Lineage: Eukaryota; Fungi; Basidiomycota; Tremellomycetes; Filobasidiales; Piskurozymaceae.